RNAcentral lists this long non-coding RNA (395 nucleotides) under Eucalyptus grandis. RNAcentral describes it as "long non-coding RNA (EGRA_LNC003198)". The record is from RNAcentral. Lineage: Eukaryota; Viridiplantae; Streptophyta; Magnoliopsida; Myrtales; Myrtaceae.
GCGGGGCUUCACGGUGGCCGGAGGUGGGCUGGACGGCUCCGGCGGAGCUCCACCAGAUUUGAAAUGGCCGCUGAAACAGAGAAGAAGAACCAGCGACUCCGCUUGCUGGAAACAGGCAAAGCGGGCUUCGGCGGUCCAGGCGAUGGUUCCGGCUGCUGCACGGCGGCGAGACGACGGCUCACGGCUGGAGGACGACUAGGAACAGUGGCCAGGGAAGCUCGAGACGUUGCUGGACUCAAGACGGGCGCGAGACGAGCAGGAAGCUCGCGGGGCUGGCCACUGAGCACGACGGGCGAGUCAGCUGAUCCGGCGGCGAACGGCGGAGGGCGGAGGCGCGAGACGGCGGUCCAGUAGCUAGCUGGCUGCUCUGUCGUCUUCCCAGAUCUGCUGGGUUU